AGUAUUCUAUGCCUUUCUCUUCUCUUGAAUGUCUAACCAUCCGAUAAAAUUAUUUCUUUAACCAGGUAUAUCAAUGAAUUGAUUGAAGUCAUUUUACUUGCUAUCAGAGAUGAUAGCAAUAGAGGGUUGAGUGGUGAUAAGCGUACAGGGGAAAUGAAAAUGGGAGAUUUGAUCUCAGGACAAUUCUCUUCGUUGCAUAAUCAAGGGACUGAUAUGAUACCAACAAAUUUUGGGAAUCAAAGAGAAAUGUCUUUGGAUGAUAAUACAUCCCAGGAAGAGUCUGUGCAUCUGCGAGCUGCUGAGUGGGCACAAAUGCUGGAGGCUGUGACACAAAGAAGAACUGAAGUUCUUACUCCCGAAAAUCUUGAAAAUAUGUGGACAAAAGGAAGAAAUUAUAAGAAGAAAGAGCAGAAACGUGCAGAAAAAGCUGGCGUCCGGGAACACCUAGGGAAGGGUCAAGGAAUACAUAGUGCUGUUCCUACUACGAAUAUUGGGGGUCAAGGAAUACAUAGUGCUGUACCUACUACGAAUAUGGGGAAGGAUGUGCUCACCAACAGGAUUGGAUUAUCUGCAGGAACAGGGGAGAAAGCACUCCUGGGGCUAUCACCAGGAUCAAGUCUUGUAACUCAAAUAAGUGAGGGGAGUAAAAAGGAAACACAAUUGUUUCAAAAUUUUGAUGGGGAUCUGUUGAAUAAUACUGAUAGCGUUGGUGCAGAUGCAAAUCGAAGUAGGAUUAAGAACUCCAGCAGCACUUCUGCUUUGAAAACUGAACCUGAUUCAAAAAAAGCGUUUGAUGGAGAUGGUGGAGGGUCCAUCAUUGCUGAGUUUUACAGCCCUGAUUUUGGAAGGAGUGGGGAAGAACAUGGGCAUAAGA
RNAcentral lists this long non-coding RNA (874 nucleotides) under Citrus sinensis (sweet orange). Its description in RNAcentral is "long non-coding RNA (CSIN_LNC005696)". The record is from RNAcentral. Lineage: Eukaryota; Viridiplantae; Streptophyta; Magnoliopsida; Sapindales; Rutaceae.